This 467-nucleotide ribosomal RNA is filed under the name uncultured bacterium. Its description in RNAcentral is "partial 16S ribosomal RNA". The stretch from base 48 to 467 matches the Rfam family "Bacterial small subunit ribosomal RNA", at positions 38 to 507 of the family's 1533-position model. The record is from RNAcentral.
GGGGGGGGGGGGGGGGGGGGGGGGGGGGGGGGGGGCGGGGGGGGGGGGGCGGGGGGGGGGGGGGGCGCGAGGGGCGAGCGGGGGGGUAACACGGGAGUAACCUGCCCUUGACUUUGGGAUAACUUCAGGAAACUGGGCUAAUACCGGAUAGGAGCUCCUGCUGCAUGGUGGGGGUUGGAAAGUUUCGGCGGUUGGGGAUGGACUCGCGGCUUAUCAGCUUGUUGGUGGGGUAGUGGCUUACCAAGGCUUUGACGGGUAGCCGGCCUGAGAGGGUGACCGGCCACAGUGGGACUGAGAUACGGCCCAGACUCCUACGGGAGGCAGCAGUGGGGAAUAUUGCACAAUGGGCGGAAGCCUGAUGCAGCAACGCCGCGUGCGGGAUGACGGCCUUCGGGUUGUAAACCGCUUUCGCCUGUGACGAAGCGUGAGUGACGGUAAUGGGUAAAGAAGCACCGGCUAACUACGUG